CUCCUUCCGGUAGAACGCGGGAGACCUACCAAAUAGCGCAGCUGUAGCCUCUACUCUCUAGAGGGUGGCGAAGGCGGAGCUGACCUGACCGGCUGACCCGCCCAACCCAACAACCUCUCCGCUGGCCAUCUUCCUCCCGGGAUCCCUCUCCCUCCUUCGAUCCAGCUCAGCUCUCUUCCUCCCGCCCCGUACUCUUCUUGAUCCGUUCACUCAUACUUCUCGAGAGAAAAGGAAGAGGAUUCGAUCUGUUGCUACCGCUAGCUGCGGUACUAACAGCAGCAGCAGCAACAGGAGGUACCGUAGAAGAAGGGAAGGGAAUCCAUGAAGAGAUGGGGCAGCAGCGGACAGGCCGCCGAUUCCUUCUACCAGGUCCGCCCCGAUUGCAGCCAAAACGUCCCCAACACCAAGUUCAAGAUCAAGGCGGGGAAGACACUGAGCGUUAGGAAAUGGCAUGCUGCGUUCACGCGUGAUGGAUGCCUGGAUAUCGCCUCUGUUCUGAGCCGCAUACAGAGAGGGGGUGUGCACCCCACGAUCAGGGGAGAGGUUUGGGAGUUCUUGCUCGGCUGCUUUGACCCUGGGAGCACCUUCGAUGAGAGGGACCAGAUUAGGGAGCGGAGAAGGAUGCAGUAUGCCAGAUGGAAGGAAGAAUGCAAAGAGAUGGAUUCUCAUGUCGGCAGUGGUAAAAUCAUCACCGCCCCGAUUAUAACUGAGGAUGGAUUCCCUAUUAAGGAUCCGUUGGUAUUACUUGAGGCUACUUCAGACACGCAAGGUACUUCAAUCGCCACCGGCAACAGUGGAAAUGGAAUUGAGAACCGUGUCUUGGAUAAACAAAUUAUUGACUGGAAGCUUACCUUACAUCAAAUAGGCCUUGAUGUUCUGCGCACUGACCGCACCAUGGUAUUUUAUGAGAACAAAGAUAACAUUUCAAAGUUGUGGGAUAUUCUUGCUGUCUAUGCAUGGAUCGACAAAGAAGUUGGUUAUUGUCAAGGAAUGAGUGAUUUAUGUUCACCCAUGAUAGUGCUACUCCACAAUGAAGCAGAUGCAUUUUGGUGCUUUGAGAGAUUGAUGCGUAGACUGCGAGGUAAUUUCAGAUGCACACAACAGUCUGUUGGGGUGGAAAACCAGCUUCAGCAUCUUGCUUCUAUCAUUCAGGUGCUUGAUCCAAAGUUACAUGGCCACCUAGAAAGACUUGGCGGGGGUGACUAUCUCUUCGCAUUCCGCAUGUUCAUGGUAUUGUUCCGGCGAGAACUAUCAUUUGGGGACUCCUUGUACCUUUGGGAGUUUCUCCUUCAGAAUGGCACCAUCUGCAUAUUCAUCAAACCAUAUUUGAGGCAAAAUAUGCUAGCAAGCAUACAAAAAAGGCACGUGGAUACAAGAAAUUGUGGAAAACCUGCUUUUGUAUCAACAACACUACAACAGCAAGCCUCAAUACUGCAAAGAGUGCAUAGAUUCCAUCCAACUGCUGUGUUGUCUUGCUGAUGCAUGGGUGCGGACGGGGUUGCUGGCGGUCUGGAAGGAGUCCAUGCUGUAGAACUGGGCAGGAAGUCAACCAGCAAACUUGUGCAUUGGUGACCCAUUAUUCCACAUGCGAAUCAUACAGGAAGCUGUUUGUUGUUGUAUUAAUAGGUAGAAAAAACAACGGUUUGAGUACAUGUCAAUCCCACUGCUUGCCCUCCAAGCCAUGCACUUAUGAUGUGGGCUCUCGAAUAUGAUCCUGGCAUUUGCUCCACUUAUGAAGAGGAUAAUACUGGGGCUGUGGUCCACAAAAUUGAAGGAAAGGUAAAAUCAAUACGUCAGUUUGGUAAGUACGAGAGGGAGAAUAUGAAGAAGAGGGCAAACGAUGGUGAUGGACCUGUCCCUAUUUCGGUCUUCCUGGUUGCUAGUGUCCUAAAAGAGAACAGUACAAAGCUUCUGCAAGAGGCUCGAGGGAUUGAUGACAUUAUUAGGAUAUUGAAUAAUGUUAAUGGAAAUCUGGACGCCAAAAGAGCUUGCGUUGUUGCACUAAAGCUUCAUAGGAAGUAUCACAAAAAGUUGCAGGAAAAGAAAUCCUAACAUCAUAUGGCGAGAUUGCACGCAACACAACACUGGGACUUAUAUAUUGCUUGUUUCUGUUCCUUUCAUUUUCCCACUCACUGUAUCGGAGGAAGAAGGUGGUUUACAUAUACAGUCGCGGGCGAGACCUCAUAAAUAUAAGUGACUUAUUGUAUCUACAAUAUCAAUGAUCCACGUCCACAGCCUACUCAAUUGUGAACAUCAACCUAGUACAUGAUAAUUUAUUCACGAUCACAAUGGACUUGGCAAAUAUUAUCCCAUCAGUAUUUGUCAUGAACCUCAGUCUACUCUCGUAUCAUCUUAGGUUUUUGGAUCCCUUCGUUUUGAAGGAACUGAAAUUUACUUAAUGGAGUAGGUUACUUGGUUUACAUUCUA
Zea mays is the source of this 2427-nucleotide RNA transcript. It is a transcript of the gene named TBC domain containing protein, with no coding region annotated. The record is from RefSeq and is marked provisional. NCBI's taxonomy places the organism in Eukaryota, Viridiplantae, Streptophyta, Magnoliopsida, Poales, Poaceae. The transcript is spliced from 13 exons.